RNAcentral lists this ribosomal RNA (732 nucleotides) under Acinetobacter baumannii Canada BC-5. Its description in RNAcentral is "bacterial SSU rRNA". It matches the Rfam family "Bacterial small subunit ribosomal RNA", at positions 28 to 754 of the family's 1533-position model. Lineage: Bacteria; Pseudomonadati; Pseudomonadota; Gammaproteobacteria; Moraxellales; Moraxellaceae. The record is from RNAcentral.
AUUGAACGCUGGCGGCAGGCUUAACACAUGCAAGUCGAGCGGGGGAAGGUAGCUUGCUACCGGACCUAGCGGCGGACGGGUGAGUAAUGCUUAGGAAUCUGCCUAUUAGUGGGGGACAACAUCUCGAAAGGGAUGCUAAUACCGCAUACGUCCUACGGGAGAAAGCAGGGGAUCUUCGGACCUUGCGCUAAUAGAUGAGCCUAAGUCGGAUUAGCUAGUUGGUGGGGUAAAGGCCUACCAAGGCGACGAUCUGUAGCGGGUCUGAGAGGAUGAUCCGCCACACUGGGACUGAGACACGGCCCAGACUCCUACGGGAGGCAGCAGUGGGGAAUAUUGGACAAUGGGGGGAACCCUGAUCCAGCCAUGCCGCGUGUGUGAAGAAGGCCUUAUGGUUGUAAAGCACUUUAAGCGAGGAGGAGGCUACUUUAGUUAAUACCUAGAGAUAGUGGACGUUACUCGCAGAAUAAGCACCGGCUAACUCUGUGCCAGCAGCCGCGGUAAUACAGAGGGUGCGAGCGUUAAUCGGAUUUACUGGGCGUAAAGCGUGCGUAGGCGGCUUAUUAAGUCGGAUGUGAAAUCCCCGAGCUUAACUUGGGAAUUGCAUUCGAUACUGGUGAGCUAGAGUAUGGGAGAGGAUGGUAGAAUUCCAGGUGUAGCGGUGAAAUGCGUAGAGAUCUGGAGGAAUACCGAUGGCGAAGGCAGCCAUCUGGCCUAAUACUGACGCUGAGGUAC